This 72-nucleotide transfer RNA is filed under the name Camelus bactrianus (Bactrian camel). It matches the Rfam family "tRNA". From Rfam's summary of the family: Transfer RNA (tRNA) molecules are approximately 80 nucleotides in length. Their secondary structure includes four short double-helical elements and three loops (D, anti-codon, and T loops). RNAcentral also lists the same sequence under 2 other names. Lineage: Eukaryota; Metazoa; Chordata; Mammalia; Artiodactyla; Camelidae. The record is from Rfam by way of RNAcentral.
GAGGGUAGAGCUCAGCGGUAGAGCACGUGCUUAGCAUACACGAGGUCCUGGGUUCAAUCCCCAGCACCUCCA